This 1134-nucleotide ribosomal RNA is filed under the name sponge bacterium Zo10. Its description in RNAcentral is "bacterial SSU rRNA". It matches the Rfam family "Bacterial small subunit ribosomal RNA", at positions 150 to 1281 of the family's 1533-position model. The record is from RNAcentral.
UUGGAAACGACUGCUAAUACCGCAUAAUCUCUUCGGAGCAAAGCAGGGGACCUUCGGGCCUUGCGCGUAAAGAGUGGCCCAAGUGGGAUUAGCUAGUUGGUAAGGUAAUGGCUUACCAAGGCAACGAUCCCUAGUUGGUCUUAGAGGAUGACCAGCCACACUGGAACUGAGACACGGUCCAGACUCCUACGGGAGGCAGCAGUGGGGAAUAUUGCACAAUGGGGGAAACCCUGAUGCAGCCAUGCCGCGUGUGUGAAGAAGGCUUUCGGGUUGUAAAGCACUUUCAGUGGGGAGGAAAGGGUAUUAGUUAAUAACUGAUAUACUGUGACGUUACCCACAGAAGAAGCACCGGCUAACUCCGUGCCAGCAGCCGCGGUAAUACGGAGGGUGCGAGCGUUAAUCGGAAUUACUGGGCGUAAAGCGCGCGUAGGUGGUUAAUUAAGUCAGAUGUGAAAGCCCCGGGCUCAACCUGGGAACGGCAUUUGAAACUGGUUAACUAGAGUUUUGUAGAGGGUGGUAGAAUUUCAGGUGUAGCGGUGAAAUGCGUAGAGAUCUGAAGGAAUACCAGUGGCGAAGGCGGCCACCUGGACAAAGACUGACACUGAGGCGCGAAGGCGUGGGGAGCAAACGGGAUUAGAUACCCCGGUAGUCCACGCAGUAAACGAUGUCUAUUAGAAGUUUGUGGCUAUAUGCCGUGGGUUUCAAAGCUAACGCAUUAAAUAGACCGCCUGGGGAGUACGGCCGCAAGGUUAAAACUCAAAUGAAUUGACGGGGGCCCGCACAAGCGGUGGAGCAUGUGGUUUAAUUCGAUGCAACGCGARGACCUUACCAUCCCUUGACAUCCAGAGAAUCACCUAGAGAUAGAUGAGUGCUUCGGGAACUCUGAGACAGGUGCUGCAUGGCUGUCGUCAGCUCGUGUUGUGAAAUGUUGGGUUAAGUCCCGCAACGAGCGCAACCCUUAUCCUUACUUGCCAGCGGGUUAUGCCGGGAACUUUAGGGAGACUGCCGGUGAUAAACCGGAGGAAGGUGGGGACGACGUCAAGUCAUCAUGGCCUUACGGGAUGGGCUACACACGUGCUACAAUGGCAAAUACAAAGGGUUGCUAACCUGCGAGGGUAUGCGAAUCUCAUAAAG